GGUGUUGUGGCUCAGUGGUAGAGCACUCACCUAGCAAGGGUGAGGUACUGGAUUCAGUCCUCAGCACCA
RNAcentral lists this transfer RNA (69 nucleotides) under Ictidomys tridecemlineatus (thirteen-lined ground squirrel). Its description in RNAcentral is "Spermophilus tridecemlineatus (thirteen-lined ground squirrel) tRNA". It matches the Rfam family "tRNA". From Rfam's summary of the family: Transfer RNA (tRNA) molecules are approximately 80 nucleotides in length. Their secondary structure includes four short double-helical elements and three loops (D, anti-codon, and T loops). Lineage: Eukaryota; Metazoa; Chordata; Mammalia; Rodentia; Sciuridae. The record is from Rfam by way of RNAcentral. RNAcentral also lists the same sequence under 1 other name.